Molecule: long non-coding RNA, 13578 nt
Filed under: Sorghum bicolor (sorghum)
Lineage: Eukaryota; Viridiplantae; Streptophyta; Magnoliopsida; Poales; Poaceae
Description: long non-coding RNA (SBIC_LNC015499)
Source: RNAcentral
GCCCGCCCAUAGCUCCUUCGACGGCGCCGCCUAGGAACGCGGAGAAAAUAUGACAAAGGAACGGCCAAAAAUAAAAAGAAAGACCUUUCUUUUGAAAAAACAAACAAAAAAAGGAAUGCAACACGAGGACUUCCCAGGAGGUCACCCAUCCUAGUACUACUCUCGCCCAAGCACGCUUAACUUCAAAGUUCUGAUGGGAUCCGGUGCUUUAGUGCUGGUAUGAUCGCAUCCGACAUACCGUGCGUUCUCCUCCCCUUUAUGCCCGCGCCUCCGUGUACGGCCCGCCCAUAGCUCCUUCGACGGCGCCGCCUAGGAACGCGGAGAAAAUAUGACAAAGGAACGGCCAAAAAUAAAAAGAAAGACCUUUCUUUUGAAAAAACAAACAAAAAAAGGAAUGCAACACGAGGACUUCCCAGGAGGUCACCCAUCCUAGUACUACUGUCGCCCAAGCACGCUUAAGUUCGGAGUUCUGAUGGGAUCCGGUGCUUUAGUGCUGGUAUGAUCGCAUCCGACAUGCCGUGCGUUCUCCUCCCCUUUAUGCCCGCGCCUCCGUGUACGGCCCGCCCAUAGCUCCUUCGUCGGCGCCGCCUAGGAACGCGGAGAAAAUAUGACAAAGGAACGGCCAAAAAUAAAAAGAAAGACCUUUCUUUUGAAAAAACAAACGCCUCCGUGUACGGCCCGCCCAUAGCUCCUUCGACGGCGCCGCCUAGGAACGCGGAGAAAAUAUGACAAAGGAACGGCCAAAAAUAAAAAGAAAGACCUUUCUUUUGAAAAAACAAACAAAAAAAAGGAAUGCAACACGAGGACUUCCCAGGAGGUCACCCAUCCUAGUACUACUCUCGCCCAAGCACGCUUAACUUCGGAGUUCUGAUGGGAUCCGGUGCUUUAGUGCUGGUAUGAUCGCAUCCGACAUACCGUGCGUUCUCCUCCCCUUUAUGCCCGCCCCUCCGUGUACGGCCCGCCCAUAGCUCUUUCGACGGCGCCGCCUAGGAACGCGGAGAAAAUAUGACAAAGGAACGGCCAAAAAUAAAAAGAAAGACCUUUCUUUUGAAAAAACAAACGCCUCCGUGUACGGCCCGCCCAUAGCUCCUUCGACGGCGCCGCCUAGGAACGCGGAGAAAAUAUGACAAAGGAACGGCCAAAAAUAAAAAGAAAGACCUUUCUUUUGAAAAAACAAACAAAAAAAAGGAAUGCAACACGAGGACUUCCCAGGAGGUCACCCAUCCUAGUACUACUCUCGCCCAAGCACGCUUAACUUCGGAGUUCUGAUGGGAUCCGGUGCUUUAGUGCUGGUAUGAUCGCAUCCGACAUACCGUGCGUUCUCCUCCCCUUUAUGCCCGCGCCUCCGUGUACGGCCCGCCCAUAGCUCCUUCGACGGCGCCGCCUAGGAACGCGGAGAAAAUAUGACAAAGGAACGGCCAAAAAUAAAAAGAAAGACCUUUCUUUUGAAAAAACAAACAAAAAAAAGGAAUGCAACACGAGGACUUCCCAGGAGGUCACCCAUCCUAGUACUACUCUCGCCCAAGCACGCUUAACUUCGGAGUUCUGAUGGGAUCCGGUGCUUUAGUGCUGGUAUGAUCGCAUCCGACAUACCGUGCGUUCUCCUCCCCUUUAUGCCCGCGCCUCCGUGUACGGCCCGCCCAUAGCUCCUUCGACGGCGCCGCCUAGGAACGCGGAGAAAAUAUGACAAAGGAACGGGCAAAAAUAAAAAGAAAGACCUUUCUUUUGAAAAAACAAACAAAAAAAAGGAAUGCAACACGAGGACUUCCCAGGAGGUCACCCAUCCUAGUACUACUCUCGCCCAAGCACGCUUAACUUCGGAGUUCUGAUGGGAUCCGGUGCUUUAGUGCUGGUAUGAUCGCAUCCGACAUACCGUGCGUUCUCCUCCCCUUUAUGCCCGCGCCUCCGUGUACGGGCCGUCCAUAGCUCCUUCGACGGCGCCGCCUAUGAACGCGGAGAAAAUAUGACAAAGGAACGGCCAACAAUCAUACGAAAGACCUUUCUUUUGAAAAAACAAACAAAAAAAAGGAAUGCGACACGAGGACUUCCCAGGAGGUCACCCAUCCUAGUACUACUCUCGCCCAAGCACGCUUAACUUCGGAGUUCUGAUGGGAUCCGGUGCUUUAGUGCUAGUAUGAUCGCAUUCGACAUACCGUGCGUUCUCCUCCCCUUUAUGCCCGCGCCUCCGUGUACGGCCCGCCCAUAGCUCCUUCGACGGCGCCGCCUAGGAACGCGGAGAAAAUAUGACAAAGGAACGGCCAAAAAUAAAAAGAAAGACCUUUCUUUUGAAAAAACAAACAAAUAAAAGGAAUGCAACACGAGGACUUCCCAGGAGGUCACCCAUCCUAGUACUACUCUCGCCCAAGCACGCUUAACUUCGGAGUUCUGAUGGGAUCCGGUGCUUUAGUGCUGGUAUGAUCGCAUCCGACAUACCGUGCGUUCUCCUCCCCUUUAUGCCCGCGCCUCCGUGUACGGCCCGCCCAUAGCUCCUUCGACGGCGCCGCCUAGGAACGCGGAGAAAAUAUGACAAAGGAACGGCCAAAAAUAAAAAGAAAGACCUUUCUUUUGAAAAAACAAACGCCUCCGUGUACGGCCCGCCCAUAGCUCCUUCGACGGCGCCGCCUAGGAACGCGGAGAAAAUAUGACAAAGGAACGGCCAAAAAUAAAAAGAAAGACCUUUCUUUUGAAAAAACAAACAAAAAAAAGGAAUGCAACACGAGGACUUCCCAGGAGGUCACCCAUCCUAGUACUACUCUCGCCCAAGCACGCUUAACUUCGGAGUUCUGAUGGGAUCCGGUGCUUUAGUGCUGGUAUGAUCGCAUCCGACAUACCGUGCGUUCUCCUCCCCUUUAUGCCCGCGCCUCCGUGUACGGCCCGCCCAUAGCUCCUUCGACGGCGCCGCCUAGGAACGCGGAGAAAAUAUGACAAAGGAACGGCCAAAAAUAAAAAGAAAGACCUUUCUUUUGAAAAAACAAACAAAUAAAAGGAAUGCAACACGAGGACUUCCCAGGAGGUCACCCAUCCUAGUACUACUCUCGCCCAAGCACGCUUAACUUCGGAGUUCUGAUGGGAUCCGGUGCUUUAGUGCUGGUAUGAUCGCAUCCGACAUACCGUGCGUUCUCCUCCCCUUUAUGCCCGCGCCUCCGUGUACGGCCCGCCCAUAGCUCCUUCGACGGCGCCGCCUAGGAACGCGGAGAAAAUAUGACAAAGGAACGGCCAAAAAUAAAAAGAAAGACCUUUCUUUUGAAAAAACAAACAAAUAAAAGGAAUGCAACACGAGGACUUCCCAGGAGGUCACCCAUCCUAGUACUACUCUCGCCCAAGCACGCUUAACUUCGGAGUUCUGAUGGGAUCCGGUGCUUUAGUGCUGGUAUGAUCGCAUCCGACAUACCGUGCGUUCUCCUCCCCUUUAUGCCCGCGCCUCCGUGUACGGCCCGCCCAUAGCUCCUUCGACGGCGCCGCCUUGGAACGCGGAGAAAAUAUGACAAAGGAACGGCCAAAAAUAAAAAGAAAGACCUUUCUUUUGAAAAAACAAACAAAUAAAAGGAAUGCAACACGAGGACUUCCCAGGAGGUCACCCAUCCUAGUACUACUCUCGCCCAAGCACGCUUAACUUCGGAGUUCUGAUGGGAUCCGGUGCUUUAGUGCUGGUAUGAUCGCAUCCGACAUACCGUGCGUUCUCCUCCCCUUUAUGCCCGCGCCUCCGUGUACGGCCCGCCCAUAGCUCCUUCGACGGCGCCGCCUAGGAACGCGGAGAAAAUAUGACAAAGGAACGGCCAAAAAUAAAAAGAAAGACCUUUCUUUUGAAAAAACAAACAAAUAAAAGGAAUGCAACACGAGGACUUCCCAGGAGGUCACCCAUCCUAGUACUACUCUCGCCCAAGCACGCUUAACUUCGGAGUUCUGAUGGGAUCCGGUGCUUUAGUGCUGGUAUGAUCGCAUUCGACAUACCGUGCGUUCUCCUCCCCUUUAUGCCCGCGCCUCCGUGUACGGGCCGCCCAUAGCUCCUUCGACGGCGCCGCCUAGGAACGCGGAGAAAAUAUGACAAAGGAACGGCCAAAAAUAAAAAGAAAGACCUGUUCUUUUGAAAAAACAAACUAAAAAAAGGAAUGCAGCACGAGGACUUCCCAGGAGGUCACCCAUCCUAAUACUACUCUCGCCCAAGCACGCUUAACUUCGGAGUUCUGAUGGGAUCCGGAGCUUUAGUGUUGGUAUGAUCGCAUCCGACAUACCGUGCGUUCUCCUCCCCUUUAUGCACCCGCCUCCGUGUACGGCCCGCCCAUAGCUCCUUCGACGGCGCCGCCUAGGAACGCGGAGAAAAUAUGACAAAGGAACGGCCAAAAAUAAAAAGAAAGACCUUUCUUUUGAAAAAACAAACAAAAAAAAGGAAUGCAACACGAGGACUUCCCAGGAGGUCACCCAUCCUAGUACUACUCUCGCCCAAGCACGCUUAACUUCGGAGUUCUGAUGGGAUCCGGUGCUUUAGUGCUGGUAUGAUCGCAUCCGACAUACCGUGCGUUCUCCUCCCCUUUAUGCCCGCGCCUCCGUGUACGGCCCGCCCAUAGCUCCUUCGACGGCGCCGCCUAGGAACGCGGAGAAAAUAUGACAAAGGAACGGCCAAAAAUAAAAAGAAAGACCUUUCUUUUGAAAAAACAAACAAAAAAAAGGAAUGCAACACGAGGACUUCCCAGGAGGUCACCCAUCCUAGUACUACUCUCGCCCAAGCACGCUUAACUUCGGAGUUCUGAUGGGAUCCGGUGCUUUAGUGCUGGUAUGAUCGCAUCCGACAUACCGUGCGUUCUCCUCCCCUUUAUGCCCGCGCCUCCGUGUACGGCCCGCCCAUAGCUCCUUCGACGGCGCCGCCUAGGAACGCGGAGAAAAUAUGACAAAGGAACGGCCAAAAAUAAAAAGAAAGACCUUUCUUUUGAAAAAACAAACAAAUAAAAGGAAUGCAACACGAGGACUUCCCAGGAGGUCACCCAUCCUAGUACUACUCUCGCCCAAGCACGCUUAACUUCGGAGUUCUGAUGGGAUCCGGUGCUUUAGUGCUGGUAUGAUCGCAUCCGACAUACCGUGCGUUCUCCUCCCCUUUAUGCCCGCGCCUCCGUGUACGGCCCGCCCAUAGCUCCUUCGACGGCGCCGCCUAGGAACGCGGAGAAAAUAUGACAAAGGAACGGCCAAAAAUAAAAAGAAAGACCUUUCUUUUGAAAAAACAAACGCCUCCGUGUACGGCCCGCCCAUAGCUCCUUCGACGGCGCCGCCUAGGAACGCGGAGAAAAUAUGACAAAGGAACGGCCAAAAAUAAAAAGAAAGACCUUUCUUUUGAAAAAACAAACAAAAAAAAGGAAUGCAACACGAGGACUUCCCAGGAGGUCACCCAUCCUAGUACUACUCUCGCCCAAGCACGCUUAACUUCGGAGUUCUGAUGGGAUCCGGUGCUUUAGUGCUGGUAUGAUCGCAUCCGACAUACCGAGCGUUCUCCUCCCCUUUAUGCCCGCGCCUCCGUGUACGGCCCGCCCAUAGCUCCUUCGACGGCGCCGCCUAGGAACGCGGAGAAAAUAUGACAAAGGAACGGCCAAAAAUAAAAAGAAAGACCUUUCUUUUGAAAAAACAAACGCCUCCGUGUACGGCCCGCCCAUAGCUCCUUCGACGGCGCCGCCUAGGAACGCGGAGAAAAUAUGACAAAGGAACGGCCAAAAAUAAAAAGAAAGACCUUUCUUUUGAAAAAACAAACAAAAAAAAGGAAUGCAACACGAGGACUUCCCAGGAGGUCACCCAUCCUAGUACUACUCUCGCCCAAGCACGCUUAACUUCGGAGUUCUGAUGGGAUCCGGUGCUUUAGUGCUGGUAUGAUCGCAUCCGACAUACCGUGCGUUCUCCUCCCCUUUAUGCCCGCGCCUCCGUGUACGGCCCGCCCAUAGCUCCUUCGACGGCGCCGCCUAGGAACGCGGAGAAAAUAUGACAAAGGAACGGCCAAAAAUAAAAAGAAAGACCUUUCUUUUGAAAAAACAAACACCUAAAAGGAAUGCAACACGAGGACUUCCCAGGAGGUCACCCGUCAUCGUAGUACUCUCGCCCAAGCACGCUUAGCUUCGGAGUUCUGAUGAGAUCCGGUGCUUUAGUGCUGGUAUGAUCGCAUCCGACAUACCGUGAGUUCUCCUCCCCUUUAUGCCCGUGCCUCCAUGUACCGCCCGCCCAUAGCUCCUUCGACGGGACGCUCCUAGGAACGCGGAGAAAAUAUUACAAAGGAGCGCCCAAAAAUAAAAAGAAAGACCUUUCUUUUGAAAAAACAAACGCCUCCGUGUACGGCCCGCCCAUAGCUCCUUCGACGGCGCCGCCUAGGAACGCGGAGAAAAUAUGACAAAGGAACGGCCAAAAAUAAAAAGAAAGACCUUUCUUUUGAAAAAACAAACAAAAAAAAGGAAUGCAACACGCGGACUUCCCAGGAGGUCACCCAUCCUAGUACUACUCUCGCCCAAGCACGCUUAAGUUCGGAGUUCUGAUGGGAUCCGGUUCUUUAGUGCUGGCAUGCUCGCAUCAGGCAUGCCGCGCGUUCUCCUCCCCGGUAGGCACGCAUCUUAGUGUACGUCUCGCCCAUAGCUCCUUCGUUGGGAGCUCCUAGGAGCUCGGAGAAAAUAUGGCAAAGGAACGGCCAUAAAUAAAAAGAAAGACCUUUCUUCUGAAAAAACAAACGCCUCCGUGUACGGCCCGCCCAUAGCUCCUUCGACGGCGCCGCCUAGGAACGCGGAGAAAAUAUGACAAAGGAACGGCCAAAAAUAAAAAGAAAGACCUUUCUUUUGAAAAAACAAACAAAUAAAAGGAAUGCAACACGAGGACUUCCCAGGAGGUCACCCAUCCUAGUACUACUCUCGCCCAAGCACGCUUAACUUCGGAGUUCUGAUGGGAUCCGGUGCUUUAGUGCUGGUAUGAUCGCAUCCGACAUACCGUGCGUUCUCCUCCCCUUUAUGCCCGCGCCUCCGUGUACGGCCCGCCCAUAGCUCCUUCGACGGCGCCGCCUAGGAACGCGGAGAAGGAGUAUGACAAAGGAACGGCCAAAAAUAAAAAGAAAGACCUUUCUUUUGAAAAAACAAACAAAUAAAAGGAAUGCAACACGAGGACUUCCCAGGAGGUCACCCAUCCUAGUACUACUCUCGCCCAAGCACGCUUAACUUCGGAGUUCUGAUGGGAUCCGGUGCUUUAGUGCUGGUAUGAUCGCAUUCGACAUACCGGGCGUACUCCUCCCCUUUAUGCCCGCGCCUCCGUGUACGGCCCGCCCAUAGCUCCUUCGACGGCGCCGCCUAGGAACGCGGAGAAAAUAUGACAAAGGAACGGCCAAAAAUAAAAAGAAAGACCUUUCUUUUGAAAAAACAAACGAAUCCGAGGAAUGCAAGACGAGGACUUCCCAGGAGGUCACCCAUCCUAGUACUACUCUCGCCCAAGCACGCUUAAGUUCGGAGUUCUGAUGGGAUCCGGUGCUUUAGUGCUGGUAUGAUCGCGUCCGACGUACCGUGCGUUCUCCUCCCCUUGAUGCCCGUGCCUCCGUGUACGGCCCGCCCAUAGCUCCUUCGACGGCGCCGUCNNNNNNNNNNNNNNNNNNNNNNNNNNNNNNNNNNNNNNNNNNNNNNNNNNNNNNNNNNNNNNNNNNNNNNNNNNNNNNNNNNNNNNNNNNNNNNNNNNNNAACACGAGGACUUCCCAAGAGGUCACCCAUCCUAGUACUACUCUCGCCCAAGCACGCUUAACUUCGGAGUUCUGAUGGGAUCCGGUGCUUUAGUGCUGGUAUGAUCGCAUCCGACAUACCGUGCGUUCUCCUCCCCUUUAUGCCCGCGCCUCCGUGUACGGCCCGCCCAUAGCUCCUUCGACGGCGCCGCCUAGGAACGCGGAGAAAAUAUGACAAAGGAACGGCCAAAAAUAAAAAGAAAGACCUUUCUUUUGAAAAAACAAACAAAAAAAAGGAAUGCAACACGAGGACUUCCCAGGAGGUCACCCAUCCUAGUACUACUCUCGCCCAAGCACGCUUAACUUCGGAGUUCUGAUGGGAUCCGGUGCUUUAGUGCUGGUAUGAUCGCAUCCGACAUACCGUGCGUUCUCCUCCCCUUUAUGCCCGCGCCUCCGUGUACGGCCCGCCCAUAGCUCCUUCGACGGCGCCGCCUAGGAACGCGGAGAAAAUAUGACAAAGGAACGGCCAAAAAUAAAAAGAAAGACCUUUCUUUUGAAAAAACAAACAAAAAAAAGGAAUGCAACACGAGGACUUCCCAGGAGGUCACCCAUCCUAGUACUACUCUCGCCCAAGCACGCUUAACUUCGGAGUUCUGAUGGGAUCCGGUGCUUUAGUGCUGGUAUGAUCGCAUCCGACAUACCAUGCGUUCUCCUCCCCUUUAUGCCCGCGCCUCCGUGUACGGCCCGCCCAUAGCUCCUUCGACGGCGCCGCCUAGGAACGCGGAGAAAAUAUGACAAAGGAAUGGCCAAAAAUAAAAAGAAAGACCUUUCUUUUGAAAAAACAAACGCCUCCGUGUACGGCCCGCCCAUAGCUCCAUCGACGGCGCCGCCUAGGAACGCGGAGAAAAUAUGACAAAGGAACGGCCAAAAAUAAAAAGAAAGACCUUUCUUUUGAAAAAAACAAACAAAAAAAAGGAAUGCAACGCGAGGACUUCCCAGGAGGUCACCCAUCCUAGUACUACUCUCGCCCAAGCACGCUUAACUUCGGAGUUCUGAUGGGAUCCGGUGCUUUAGUGCUGGUAUGAUCGCAUCCGACAUACCGUGCGUUCUCCUCCCCUUUAUGCCCGCGCCUCCGUGUACGGCCCGCCCAUAGCUCCUUCGACGGCGCCGCCUAGGAACGCGGAGAAAAUAUGACAAAGGAACGGCCAAAAAUAAAAAGAAAGACCUUUCUUUUGAAAAAACAAACAAAAAAAAGGAAUGCAACACGAGGACUUCCCAGGAGGUCACCCAUCCUAGUACUACUCUCGCCCAAGCACGCUUAACUUCGGAGUUCUGAUGGGAUCCGGUGCUUUAGUGCUGGUAUGAUCGCAUCCGACAUACCGUGCGUUCUCCUCCCCUUUAUGCCCGCGCCUCCGUGUACGGCCCGCCCAUAGCUCCUUCGACGGCGCCGCCUAGGAACGCGGAGAAUAUAUGACAAAGGAACGGCCAAAAAUAAAAAGAAAGACCUUUCUUUUGAAAAAACAAACGCCUCCGUGUACGGCCCGUCCAUAGCUCCUUCGACGGUGCCGCCUAGGAACGCGGAGAAAAUAUGACAACGGAACGGCCAAAAAUAAAAAGAAGGACCUUUCUUUUGAAAAUACAUAAUCAAUACAAAAAGGAAUGCAACACGAGGACUUCCCAGGAGGUCACCCAUCCUAGUACUACUCUCGCCCAAGCACGCUUAACUUCGGAGUUCUGAUGGGAUCCGGUGCUUUAGUGCUGGUAUGAUCGCAUCCGACAUACCGUGCGUUCUCCUCCCCUUUAUGCCCGCGCCUCCGUGUACGGCCCGCCCAUAGCUCCUUCGACGGCGCCGCCUAGGAACGCGGAGAAAAUAUGACAAAGGAACGGCCAAAAAUAAAAAGAAAGACCUUUCUUUUGAAAAAACAAACAAAUAAAAGGAAUGCAACACGAGGACUUCCCAGGAGGUCACCCAUCCUAGUACUACUCUCGCCCAAGCACGCUUAACUUCGGAGUUCUGAUGGGAUCCGGUGCUUUAGUGCUGGUAUGAUCGCAUCCGACAUACCGUGCGUUCUCCUCCCCUUUAUGCCCGCGCCUCCGUGUACGGCCCGCCCAUAGCUCCUUCGACGGCGCCGCCUAGGAACGCGGAGAAAAUAUGACAAAGGAACGGCCAAAAAUAAAAAGAAAGACCUUUCUUUUGAAAAAACAAACAAAAAAAAAGGAAUGCAACACGAGGACUUCCCAGGAGGUCACCCAUCCUAGUACUACUCUCGCCCAAGCACGCUUAACUUCGGAGUUCUGAUGGGAUCCGGUGCUUUAGUGCUGGUAUGAUCGCAUCGGACAUACCGUGCGUUCUCCUCCCCUUUAUGCCCGCGCCUCCGUGUACGGCCCGCCCAUAGCUCCUUCGACGGCGCCGCCUAGGAACGCGGAGAAAAUAUGACAAAGGAACGGCCAAAAAUAAAAAGAAAGACCUUUCUUUUGAAAAAACAAACGCCUCAGUGUACGGCCCGCCCAUAGCUCCUUCGACGGCGCCGCCUAGGAACGCGGAGAAAAUAUGACAAAGGAACGGCCAAAAAUAAAAAGAAAGACCUUUCUUUUGAAAAAACAAACAAAAAAAAGGAAUGCAACACGAGGACUUCCCAGGAGGUCACCCAUCCUAGUACUACUCUCGCCCAAGCACGCUUAACUUCGGAGUUCUGAUGGGAUCCGGUGCUUUAGUGCUGGUAUGAUCGCAUCCGACAUACCGUGCGUUCUCCUCCCCUUUAUGCCCGCGCCUCCGUGUACGGCCCGCCCAUAGCUCCUUCGACGGCGCCGCCUAGGAACGCGGAGAAAAUAUGACAAAGGAACGGCCAAAAAUAAAAAGAAAGACCUUUCUUUUGAAAAAACAAACGCCUCCGUGUACGGCCCGCCCAUAGCUCCUUCGACGGCGCCGCCUAGGAACGCGGAGAAAAUAUGACAAAGGAACGGCCAAAAAUAAAAAGAAAGACCUUUCUUUUGAAAAAACAAACAAAAAAAAGGAAUGCAACACGAGGACUUCCCAGGAGGUCACCCAUCCUAGUACUACUCUCGCCCAAGCACGCUUAACUUCGGAGUUCUGAUGGGAUCCGGUGCUUUAGUGCUGGUAUGAUCGCAUCCGACAUACCGUGCGUUCUCCUCCCCUUUAUGCCCGCGCCUCCGUGUACGGCCCGCCCAUAGCUCCUUCGACGGCGCCGCCUAGGAACGCGGAGAAAAUAUGACAAAGGAACGGCCAAAAAUAAAAAGAAAGACCUUUCUUUUGAAAAAACAAACAAAAAAAAGGAAUGCAACACGAGGACUUCCCAGGAGGUCACCCAUCCUAGUACUACUCUCGCCCAAGCACGCUUAACUUCGGAGUUCUGAUGGGAUCCGGUGCUUUAGUGCUGGUAUGAUCGCAUCCGACAUACCGUGCGUUCUCCUCCCCUUUAUGCCCGCGCCUCCGUGUACGGCCCGCCCAUAGCUCCUUCGACGGCGCCGCCUAGGAACGCGGAGAAAAUAUGACAAAGGAACGGCCAAAAAUAAAAAGAAAGACCUUUCUUUUGAAAAAACAAACAAAAAAAAGGAAUGCAACACGAGGACUUCCCAGGAGGUCACCCAUCCUAGUACUACUCUCGCCCAAGCACGCUUAACUUCGGAGUUCUGAUGGGAUCCGGUGCUUUAGUGCUGGUAUGAUCGCAUCCGACAUACCGUGCGUUCUCCUCCCCUUUAUGCCCGCGCCUCCGUGUACGGCCCGCCCAUAGCUCCUUCGACGGCGCCGCCUAGGAACGCGGAGAAAAUAUGACAAAGGAACGGCCAAAAAAAAAAGAAAGACCUUUCUUUUGAAAAAACAAACUAAAAAAAGGAAUGCAACACGAGGACUUCCCAUGAGGUCACCCAUCCUAGUACUACUCUCGCCCAAGCACGCUUAACUUCGGAGUUCUGAUGGGAUCCGGUGCUUUAGUGCUGGUAUGAUCGCAUCCGACAUACCGUGCGUUCUCCUCCCCUUUAUGCCCGCGCCUCCGUGUACGGCCCGCCCAUAGCUCCUUCGACGGCGCCGCCUAGGAACGCGGAGAAAAUAUGACAAAGGAACGGCCAAAAAUAAAAAGAAAGACCUUUCUUUUGAAAAAACAAACAAAUAAAAGGAAUGCAACACGAGGACUUCCCAGGAGGUCACCCAUCCUAGUACUACUCUCGCCCAAGCACGCUUAACUUCGGAGUUCUGAUGGGAUCCGGUGCUUUAGUGCUGGUAUGAUCGCAUCCGACAUACCGUGCGUUCUCCUCCCCUUUAUGCCCGCGCCUCCGUGUACGGCCCGCCCAUAGCUCCUUCGACGGCGCCGCCUAGGAACGCGGAGAAAAUAUGACAAAGGAACGGCCAAAAAUACAAAGAAAGACCUUUCUUUUGAAAAAACAAACAAAUAACAGGAAUGCAACACGAGGACUUCCCAGGAGGUCACCCAUCCUAGUACUACUCUCGCCCAAGCACGCUUAACUUCGGAGUUCUGAUGGGAUCCGGUGCUUUAGUGCUGGUAUGAUCGCAUCCGACAUACCGUGCGUUCUCCUCCCCUUUAUGCCCGCGCCUCCGUGUACGGUCCGACCAUAGCUCCUUCGACGGCGCCGCCUAGGAACGCGGAGAAAAUAUGACAAAGGAACGGCCAAACAUCAAAAGAAAGACCUGUCUUCUGACAGCACGAACCAACAAAAGGAAUGCAACACGAGGACUUCCCAGGAGGUCACCCAUCCUAGUACUACUCUCGCCCAAGCACGCUUAACUUCGGAGUUCUGAUGGGAUCCGGUGCUUUAGUGCUGGUAUGAUCGCAUCCGACAUACCGUGCGUUCUCCUCCCCUUUAUGCCCGCGCCUCCGUGUACGGCCCGCCCAUAGCUCCUUCGACGGCGCCGCCUAGGAACGCGGAGAAAAUAUGACAAAGGAACGGCCAAAAAUAAAAAGAAAGACCUUUCUUUUGAAAAAACAAACAAAAAAAAGGAAUGCAACACGAGGACUUCCCAGGAGGUCACCCAUCCUAGUACUACUCUCGCCCAAGCACGCUUAACUUCGGAGUUCUGAUGGGAUCCGGUGCUUUAGUGCUGGUAUGAUCGCAUCCGACAUACCGUGCGUUCUCCUCCCCUUUAUGCCCGCGCCUCCGUGUACGGCCCGCCCAUAGCUCCUUCGACGGCGCCGCCUAGGAACGCGGAGAAAAUAUGACAAAGGAACGGCCAAAAAUAAAAAGAAAGACCUUUCUUUUGAAAAAACAAACAAAAAAAAGGAAUGCAACACGAGGACUUUCCAGGAGGUCACCCAUCCUAGUACUACUCUCGCCCAAGCACGCUUAACUUCGGAGUUCUGAUGGGAUCUGGUGCUUUAGUGCUGUUAUGAUCGCAUCCGACAUACCGUGCGUUCUCGUCCCCUUUAUGCCCGCGCCUCCGUGUACGGCCCGCCCAUAGCUCCUUCGACGGCGCCGCCUAGGAACGCGGAGAAAAUAUGACAAAGGAACGGCCAAAAAUAAAAAGAAAGACUUUUCUUUUGAAAAAACAAACAAAAAAAAGGAAUGCAACACGAGGACUUCCCAGGAGGUCACCCAUCCUAGUACUACUCUCGCCCAAGCACGCUUAACUUCGGAGUUCUGAUGGGAUCCGGUGCUUUAGUGCUGGUAUGAUCGCAUCCGACAUACCGUGCGUUCUCCUCCCCUUUAUGCCCGCGCCUCCGUGUACGGCCCGCCCAUAGCUCCUUCGACGGCGCCGCCUAGGAACGCGGAGAAAAUAUGACAAAGGAACGGCCAAAAAUAAAAAGAAAGACCUUUCUUUUGAAAAAACAAACAAAUAAAAGGAAUGCAACACGAGGACUUCCCAGGAGGUCACCCAUCCUAGUACUACUCUCGCCCAAGCACGCUUAACUUCGGAGUUCUGAUGGGAUCCGGUGCUUUAGUGCUGGUAU